GAUGAACGCUGGCGGCGUGCUUAACACAUGCAAGUCGAACGGAAAGGCUCCUGCUUGCAGGGGUACUCGAGUGGCGAACGGGUGAGUAACACGUGGGUGAUCUGCCCUGCACUUCGGGAUAAGCCUGGGAAACUGGGUCUAAUACCGGAUAGGACCACAUUUUGGAUGGUGUGGUGGAAAGUUUUUCGGUGUGGGAUGAGCUCGCGGCCUAUCAGCUUGUUGGUGGGGUGAUGGCCUACCAAGGCGUCGACGGGUAGCCGGCCUGAGAGGGUGUACGGCCACAUUGGGACUGAGAUACGGCCCAGACUCCUACGGGAGGCAGCAGUGGGGAAUAUUGCACAAUGGGCGCAAGCCUGAUGCAGCGACGCCGCGUGGGGGAUGACGGCCUUCGGGUUGUAAACUCCUUUCGCUAGGGACGAAGCGCAAGUGACGGUACCUGGAGAAGAAGCACCGGCUAACUACGUG
RNAcentral lists this ribosomal RNA (465 nucleotides) under uncultured bacterium. Its description in RNAcentral is "partial 16S ribosomal RNA". It matches the Rfam family "Bacterial small subunit ribosomal RNA", at positions 28 to 507 of the family's 1533-position model. The record is from RNAcentral.